UAAAUGAUCUACGGGAAAAAAGUAACGGCCGAGCAUGUGGUAAAAAGAUGAUUCUCUCGCAAGUUGCAAGAGGAGAACAAGAAUAGAAGUACAAUUUAGAGCGAGAAGCGAGGGUCCCAGGGUCAUCCAAGAGGGUUUCGUUUUAUGAUCUUUCUUCAACCGGCAGGAGCCAUACACGAUCAGGAGUGGAAGGAUCAAUGGAUAAAAAAAAUAAAGAAAGUCAAUGAUGAUAAAGAAGGAAAGAAGAUUGGAGUUAAGAAAUGGAAGCUUGCUAAGAACGAAUAGCUGUGCCAAAUUAACCAUGAUUUAUAGAGAUGGCCAAUAUUCCAUUCUAUUAACAUCGCAUUAUCCUUCCGUCAAAUUACAUAUCGACGACCCGGUUUUUUCAGAAGCCGAUCCUGGCACAAAGUGUACAGGUAUCCAAUAUAGUACGAUCGAUCACCGAUUAUAGCUCGGGAUAGGCAUGGUGUACAAUGUUGCACUCUAUUGGUUGGUUACAUAUCGCAACAUUAUACGUAUAUGCGGCCGGGGCAUCAAGUUGCAGGCUGCAAUGUGUAUACGCGUUUAAUUAAUUCGCCUGUACACGCGCCAUAUGAAUCUCAUUCCCGUGUAGUUCGAUGAAUUUCCCAAAUGAACUACAGAUUAAGAUCAAGGAUGAUAUGGAUGAUGUAAUAACAACAAGUCAAUUUUGAACAAUUUUAAUUGAGACAAUUUAACAUGCAUUUAUGACCAAAAUCGAUUUCACUCACGUUAAUUAUCGAGGGAAUUAUCG
Molecule: long non-coding RNA, 772 nt
Organism: Apis laboriosa (Himalayan honeybee)
Lineage: Eukaryota; Metazoa; Arthropoda; Insecta; Hymenoptera; Apidae
Exons: 3
Source: RefSeq, a predicted model, not a curated record